AUCUACCCUGGCAUCUGGAAUAACCCACCGAAAGGUGUGCUAAUACCGGAUACGCUGAUUUAUCAGGAAAGGUGGCCUCUUCAUGAAAGCUACUGUGCCGGGAGGAGCUUGCGUACCAUUAGCUAGUUGGUGGGGUAAUGGCCUACCAAGGCAACGAUGGUUAGCGGGUCUGAGAGGAUGAUCCGCCACACUGGAACUGGAACACGGACCAGACUCCUACGGGAGGCAGCAGUGAGGAAUAUUGCGCAAUGGGGGCAACCCUGACGCAGCGACGCCGCGUGGAUGAUGAAGGCCUUCGGGUCGUAAAAUCCUGUCAGAUGGAAAGAAAUGCCAGAUGUCUAAUAUAUGUCUGGUUUGACGGUACCAUCAAAGGAAGCACCGGCUAACUCCGUGCCAGCAGCCGCGGUAAUACGGAGGGUGCAAGCGUUGUUCGGAAUUACUGGGCGUAAAGCGCGCGUAGGCGGCUAUUUAAGUCAGAUGUGAAAGUCCACGGCUCAACCGUGGAAGUGCAUUUGAUACUGGGUAGCUUGAGUACUGGAGGGGAUGGUGGAAUUCCCGGUGUAGAGGUGAAAUUCGUAGAUAUCGGGAGGAAUACCGGUGGCGAAGGCGACCAUCUGGCCAGAUACUGACGCUGAGGUGCGAAAGCGU
RNAcentral lists this ribosomal RNA (648 nucleotides) under Desulfopila sp. PR7_B05. RNAcentral's name for it is "bacterial SSU rRNA". It matches the Rfam family "Bacterial small subunit ribosomal RNA", at positions 124 to 762 of the family's 1533-position model. Lineage: Bacteria; Pseudomonadati; Thermodesulfobacteriota; Desulfobulbia; Desulfobulbales; Desulfocapsaceae. The record is from RNAcentral.